Molecule: unclassified non-coding RNA, 658 nt
Filed under: Hevea brasiliensis (rubber tree)
Lineage: Eukaryota; Viridiplantae; Streptophyta; Magnoliopsida; Malpighiales; Euphorbiaceae
Source: RNAcentral
UAACCCAACUGCUGCAAUUCAAUCAAUGAAAGAGGCAGCUUGUGCGGUUGUCAGAAACAACCUAUCGCUAAUCAUUUUUCCUGAAGGCACCAGGUCCAAAAAUGGACGAUUGCUUUCGUUUAAAAAGGGUUUUGUUCAUUUGGCAUUGCAAACACGCCUUCCAAUAGUUCCCAUGGUCCUGACAGGUACCCACCUAGCAUGGAGGAAAGGCAGCUUGCAUGUUCGGCCAGUGCCUAUAACAGUCAAGUUUCUCCGUCCCAUAAAAACUGAUGAUUGGACGGCUGAUAAAAUUGAUGACUAUGUAAAAAUGGUACAUGACACAUAUGUUGGAAACCUUCCAGAGUCUCAAAGGCCUCUUUGUUAGAAGGUACCAGAAAUAGUCCCUAGAUCCUCCUAGUUGAGGCACUCCUCUUUGUAAUUCUAACAAUCUGCGGCAGUGCUUUGUUAAAAGCUACAAUAAGCAUAAGGGAAAUGUAGUGUUUAGAUUAACAGAACUACUGAUGUUUAUAGUGCUGAUUCUCUUGCAAUAGCACUGUUUGCUUGAUCCAUAUCAGUUGCAUAAUAGGUUUUUCAUGUGCCUUGUAUAACUGCUAUAAUUUUCUGCAAUGAUGUGAUGUUACCUUCUCACUGAUCCUGUAAAUGAACUUUUUUCCCCCCG